UACGUAGGGGGUAAGCGUUGUCCGGAAUCAUUGGGCGUAAAGAGCGUGUAGGCGGCCCGAUAAGUCCGCUGUGAAAGUCCAGGGCUCAACCCUGGGAUGCCGGUGGAUACUGUCGGGCUCGAGUCCGGAAGAGGCGAGUGGAAUUCCUGGUGUAGCGGUGAAAUGCGCAGAUAUCAGGAGGAACACCAAUGGCGAAGGCAGCUCGCUGGGACGUGACUGACGCUGAGACGCGAAAGCGUGGGGAGCGAACAGG
Molecule: ribosomal RNA, 253 nt
Filed under: uncultured bacterium
Lineage: Bacteria
Description: partial 16S ribosomal RNA
Rfam family: Bacterial small subunit ribosomal RNA
Source: RNAcentral